Molecule: ribosomal RNA, 407 nt
Filed under: uncultured bacterium
Lineage: Bacteria
Description: partial 16S ribosomal RNA
Rfam family: Bacterial small subunit ribosomal RNA
Source: RNAcentral
AUUGAACGCUGGCGGCAGGCCUAACACAUGCAAGUCGAGCGGAGCGGCGGACGGGGGAGGAAUGCCUAGGAAUCGGCCUGGUCGUGGGGGAUAACGUCCGGAAACGGGCGCUAAUACCGCAUACUAUCAGAUGAGGCUAGGUGGGAUUAGCUAGUGGGUGGGGUAAGGGCCUACCAAGGCGACGAUCCGUAACUGGUCUGAGAGGAUGAGCAGUCACACUGGAACUGAGACACGGUCCAGACUCCUACGGGAGGCAGCAGUGGGGAAUAUUGGACAAUGGGCGAAAGCCUGAUCCAGCCAUGCCGCGUGUGUGAAGAAGGUCUUCGGAUUGUAAAGCACUUUAAGUUGGGAGGCGUUACCAACAGAAUAAGCACCGGCUAACUUCGUGCCAGCAGCCGCGGUAAUAC